CACCACCCACAGAGGCACAGGCGCUUCAUCCCGUGAGGUUUUUACCGAGGAGAAGCUUACUGCUGAUUGCAAAUUACCUAUAGUUUGCGUCCUUGUUGUCUUUACGACGACUUGGCAAUUUUUGAACACCACCAAGG
Molecule: small nuclear RNA, 137 nt
Organism: Pseudozyma flocculosa PF-1
Lineage: Eukaryota; Fungi; Basidiomycota; Ustilaginomycetes; Ustilaginales; Ustilaginaceae
Rfam family: U4 spliceosomal RNA
About the family: U4 small nuclear RNA (U4 snRNA) is a component of the major U2-dependent spliceosome. The structure of U4 snRNA from yeast and human has been reported.
Source: Rfam